UAGGAAUCUUGCGCAAUGGGCGAAAGCCUGACGCAGCAACGCCGCGUGAGGGAUGAAGGUUUUCGGAUUGUAAACCUCUUUCAGUAGGAACGAAAUUGACGGUACCUACAGAAGAAGCUCCGGCCAACUACGUGCCAGCAGCCGCGGUAAUACGUAGGGAGCAAGCGUUGUCCGGAUUUAUUGGGCGUAAAGAGCUCGUAGGCGGUUUAGUAAGUCGGGUGUGAAACCUCCAGGCUCAACCUGGAGCCGCCACUUGAUACUGCUAUGACUAGAGUUUGGUAGGGGAUGAUGGAAUUCCUGGUGUAGCGGUGAAAUGCACAGAUAUCAGGAGGAACACCGAUGGCGAAGGCAGUCAUCUGGGCCAAUACUGACGCUGAGGAGCGAAAGCGUGGGGAGCAAAC
RNAcentral lists this ribosomal RNA (401 nucleotides) under uncultured bacterium. RNAcentral describes it as "bacterial SSU rRNA". It matches the Rfam family "Bacterial small subunit ribosomal RNA", at positions 356 to 773 of the family's 1533-position model. The record is from RNAcentral.